AAUGUUUCACAGCCGAGCGCAUCAGCUAACAGGAAACAUCAAUACAAAAACAGACAUGAAUCAUCUGAGUGAAUGUAGGGAAACUAUAAAAUCCAAAACAAAACAGAAAAAAACAGAAGAACAGUGGCGUGCACUGGAAACAGGGAGCCCAGUUGAAAACACCAAUCAGGCGCCUGGUGAUGUGACUGUGGAACUACUGUUGGAACAACAGCGGCUCGUUAACGAGCUCAUAAACGCUGUGAUUGUACGCGCCUCAAGAAAGGCAAAGGUGCCGCCGUCUGAUGAGAUUCAGCAGCGACUAUUCAUAUCUCUGUGGGCGAAAAUUAAGGGAAAAGCUAUUAACAUCAAACGACAUACAGUGAAAAGUCUGGAAAAAGCCAUUUUCAAAGAUAUUCAGAAGCAGGGUGUAGCUGUAGGAACCCCAGAGUGCACCAAGACGCUCCAGUCCUCCAGGUGGAAAGAGUAGUGGAAUAUUUGGUGAACCUGAGCCUGCUGCUCAACCACAGAGACCCAUACCUCCAGGUGGACCAACCAGCAACAUAUUUGGGCCUGCAGUCACUGCACCUGCACAAAGUCCAAGCCAAAGCCACCCAAAUAAGCCAAAGGUAGGCUGUAACAUUACCUUCCUUUCACUUUUUGACUUGUAUUUUAUGAGUUGCAGAACAUUUUUAUUCAAAGCCUGUGCAACAAAAGGACUCUUCAGUGAGGAAUACAUAGCAUUGCGACAAGCAGCACUUCAAUAAUAAUCUCUAAUAAACAGACACUAACUAAGCCCCACCCCC
Oreochromis aureus is the source of this 782-nucleotide long non-coding RNA. NCBI's taxonomy places the organism in Eukaryota, Metazoa, Chordata, Actinopteri, Cichliformes, Cichlidae. The record is from Ensembl.